Molecule: transfer RNA, 90 nt
Filed under: Candidatus Omnitrophota bacterium
Lineage: Bacteria; Pseudomonadati; Candidatus Omnitrophota
Also listed under: 1 other name
Description: Candidatus Omnitrophica bacterium tRNA-Ser
Rfam family: tRNA
About the family: Transfer RNA (tRNA) molecules are approximately 80 nucleotides in length. Their secondary structure includes four short double-helical elements and three loops (D, anti-codon, and T loops).
Source: RNAcentral
GGAAGGAUGGCAGAGUGGUUGAAUGCGCCGGUCUUGAAAACCGGAGUCCGCUUAUGCGGGCCGCAGGUUCGAAUCCUGCUCCUUCCGCCA